GCCGAGGUAGCUCAGUCGGUAGAGCGGAGGACUGAAAAUCCUUGUGUCGGCGGUUCAAGUCCGCCUCUCGGCACCA
RNAcentral lists this transfer RNA (76 nucleotides) under Candidatus Melainabacteria bacterium. Its description in RNAcentral is "tRNA-Phe". It matches the Rfam family "tRNA". Rfam says of the family: Transfer RNA (tRNA) molecules are approximately 80 nucleotides in length. Their secondary structure includes four short double-helical elements and three loops (D, anti-codon, and T loops). The record is from RNAcentral. Lineage: Bacteria; Bacillati; Candidatus Melainabacteria. RNAcentral also lists the same sequence under 1 other name.